This 1006-nucleotide long non-coding RNA is filed under the name Pan troglodytes (chimpanzee). RNAcentral describes it as "lincRNA". Lineage: Eukaryota; Metazoa; Chordata; Mammalia; Primates; Hominidae. The record is from RNAcentral.
UGGCCGCUGUGUCUCCACAUGGCGACCCCUCCCCGGAUGGCGAAGGUGCCCUCUAGCUCCUCCAACUGGAUGACGACUGAAGAGGCCCAGACUCAGGAACCCCUCUCACCCUUGCCGAGCCCAGGGUAAUGCUUCAGGUAGUGGAGACAAAUGAAGAUACUCGACCAUCUCUAAAUGCUACCAAACACAUAGAGUCUACUCUGAAUGCAGAUACUGCUCUCAUAAAAAUUCUGCAAAGGAGGAAGGGGUUGGUGCAGACUGUUGCGAUGCUGAUCAACUGAGAUGCAAAACCCAUGUUCACAUCAUGAGUGAGUCUUCUAACUCGGACAACGCAAUCAACAAAUUCUAAGACCAAAUUCCGGCGGCACUGGCUCCAAAGCUCCUGAGUGUGGAAGGAGGGGAACAGGGAAAAGCAGAGAGGACAAAAGUCACAUCCCCUCCCCACAGACCCAUACUGGGGAAGGGUGGAAGAUUUAGCUGCGAGUCAAGUUCAGAAUUUUGAUUAACAUCUUGGCAUGCACAUUCGAAUUUCAGAAUCAAGACUGUUGGCCAUAAAAAAUGACUAUAGCCUUGUAUAUUACCUGAACUGAGCAGUAAAAAAAAAGUCAUGGUCCUUCUGGGGCUUUUAUUCUGAGACAGGAACCCUGAACAGGCAGGAGAAAGGGAAUGUUGAGAGAGAAACAAAGACAGCUGGCGACACACGCUGACCGCCAUGCGGACGUCCAUCAAACCCAGCACUGGCCCUGGGUACAUGCGCCUUUGCUAUUACCCCAAUACAUUUUCUUCUGCAGAGCAAGCAACAGAACACAUGCAGACCUUAAUAAAUACCACUGGGUAAUGUGACAAUGGCCAAACUCUCCUCACGGGGGAGAGAGUGUCCCCCAGUUUUGCUCCCUUUUAAUUUCCAGGGUUCAUAAGUAGCUCUAAAGCUUUGCUCUACGAGGUUGAUACAUACGAUAUUAAUGUUUCCCCUAAGCAGUAUAACAUAAAUAUAUUUGCUAUCUUG